Molecule: ribosomal RNA, 489 nt
Filed under: uncultured bacterium
Lineage: Bacteria
Description: bacterial SSU rRNA
Rfam family: Bacterial small subunit ribosomal RNA
Source: RNAcentral
GAGGAGACGCUGGCGGCGUGGAUUAGGCAUGCAAGUCGAACGGUAGGAUACCUUCGGGUAUCUGAGAGUGGCGAACGGGUGAGUAACACGUAGGUGAUCUACCCUCAAGAUUGGGACAACCCAGGGAAACUUGGGCUAAUACCGGAUGAAAGCAGCAGUGAUGUUGUUUGAAAGGUGGCGUAAGCUGCCGUUUGGGGAUGAGCCUGCGCUCUAUUAGUUAGUUGGCGGGGUAAAGGCCCACCAAGGCGAUGAUAGAUAGGCGGCCUUAACGGGUGGUCGCCCACACUGGGAUUGAGAUACGGCCCAGACUCCUACGGGAGGCAGCAGUCGAGAAUAGUCUACAAUGGCCGAAAGGCUGAUAGUGCGACGCCGCGUGAACGAAGAAGCCCUUCGGGGUGUAAAGUUCUUUUAUAUGUGAGCAGUGCUUUCUAUGUGAACAGCAUGGGGAGAGAGAUAUUAGCAUAUGAAUAAGCAACGGCUAACUCCGUG